Molecule: ribosomal RNA, 253 nt
Filed under: uncultured bacterium
Lineage: Bacteria
Description: partial 16S ribosomal RNA
Rfam family: Bacterial small subunit ribosomal RNA
Source: RNAcentral
UACAGAGGUCUCAAGCGUUGUUCGGAUUCAUUGGGCGUAAAGGGUGCGUAGGUGGCGCCGUAAGUCGGAUGUGAAAUUUCGGAGCUUAAUUCCGAAACUGCAUUCGAUACUGCGGUGCUUGAGGACUGGAGAGGAGACUGGAAUUCAUGGUGUAGCAGUGAAAUGCGUAGAGAUCAUGAGGAAGACCAGUGGCGAAGGCGGGUCUCUGGACAGUUCCUGACACUGAGGCACGAAGGCCAGGGGAGCAAACGGG